UAAGGAAUAUUGGUCAAUGGACGCAAGUCUGAACCAGCCAUGCCGCGUGAAGGAUGAAGGUCCUCUGGAUUGUAAACUUCUUUUAUAGGGGGCGAAAAAAGGGAAAUCUUUCUCACUUGACAGUACCCUAUGAAUAAGCACCGGCUAACUCCGUGCCAGCAGCCGCGGUAAUACGGAGGGUGCAAGCGUUAUCCGGAUUCACUGGGUUUAAAGGGUGCGUAGGCGGGCGUAUAAGUCAGUGGUGAAAUCCUGGAGCUUAACUCCAGAACUGCCAUUGAUACUAUAUGUCUUGAAUAUGGUGGAGGUAAGCGGAAUAUGUCAUGUAGCGGUGAAAUGCAUAGAUAUGACAUAGAACACCUAUUGCGAAGGCAGCUUACUACGCCUAUAUUGACGCUGAGGCACGAAAGCGUGGGGAUCAAACAGGAUUAGAUACCCUGGUAGUCCACGCCCUAAACGAUGAUUACUCGACGUGUGCGAUAAACGGUACGCGUCUGAGCGAAAGCAUUAAGUAAUCCACCUGGGGAAGUACGACCGCAAGGUUUGAAACUUAAAGGAAUUGACGGGGUCAUAGCUGUUUCCUG
Molecule: ribosomal RNA, 581 nt
Filed under: uncultured bacterium
Lineage: Bacteria
Description: partial 16S ribosomal RNA
Rfam family: Bacterial small subunit ribosomal RNA
Source: RNAcentral